AUUGUGGAAGUGGGGAUCGAUUGGCCGAGCCCGGACCCCAUAAUAAAUAUUUUCAAAUGCUUUGGCUUUCCACUCGAACCCAGGUCUUCCAGAGUCGAAAGCCGAAGCGUUUCCAAGCAGCCAAUCCGGCCACCUACCGCCAUGUUAUUCAUAGCUAUUUCUUGUUUACAAUCAGGACUGGCCAAAAAAGCAGGCCCUGGUGCAAAGUUGUCAUGCGAGACCUUUUAAUAAUAAUAAUAAACAGUUUCGAAGCUUUGGUUUCGAACAAGAGUUGGAUCAAUAAUAAUAAAAAUUAAUAAUUAAUAAUAAAAU
This 312-nucleotide long non-coding RNA is filed under the name Androctonus crassicauda. Lineage: Eukaryota; Metazoa; Arthropoda; Arachnida; Scorpiones; Buthidae. The record is from RNAcentral.